RNAcentral lists this transfer RNA (75 nucleotides) under Oligoflexia bacterium. RNAcentral's name for it is "tRNA-Val". It matches the Rfam family "tRNA". From Rfam's summary of the family: Transfer RNA (tRNA) molecules are approximately 80 nucleotides in length. The record is from RNAcentral. Lineage: Bacteria; Pseudomonadati; Bdellovibrionota; Oligoflexia.
UGGUUCGUAGCUCAGUGGGAGAGCACUACCUUGACACGGUAGGGGUCGCUGGUUCAAUCCCAGUCGAACCAACCA